This 65-nucleotide ribosomal RNA is filed under the name Curvularia geniculata. RNAcentral describes it as "partial 28S ribosomal RNA". The record is from RNAcentral. Lineage: Eukaryota; Fungi; Ascomycota; Dothideomycetes; Pleosporales; Pleosporaceae.
UUUUGACCUCGGAUCAGGUAGGGAUACCCGCUGAACUUAAGCAUAUCAAUAAGCCGGAGGAAAUC